RNAcentral lists this unclassified non-coding RNA (170 nucleotides) under uncultured Trichoderma. RNAcentral's name for it is "sequence contains ITS1". The record is from RNAcentral. Lineage: Eukaryota; Fungi; Ascomycota; Sordariomycetes; Hypocreales; Hypocreaceae.
CCGAGUUUACAACUCCCAAACCCAAUGUGAACCAUACCAAACUGUUGCCUCGGCGGGGUCACGCCCCGGGUGCGUCGCAGCCCCGGAACCAGGCGCCCGCCGGAGGGACCAACCAAACUCUUUUCUGUAUUUACAGGUCUUAUCUUCUGAGUACAAACACAAACAAGUAA